Non-coding RNA from Triticum aestivum (bread wheat), 115 nucleotides. NCBI's taxonomy places the organism in Eukaryota, Viridiplantae, Streptophyta, Magnoliopsida, Poales, Poaceae. The record is from Rfam.
AUAAUACUCCCUCCGUUCGGAAUUAGUUGUCGUAGAAAUGGAUGUAUCUAGACGUAUUUUAGUUCUAGAUACAUCCAUUUCCGAGACAAGUAAUUCGGAACGGAGGGAGUAGAUA